RNAcentral lists this unclassified non-coding RNA (267 nucleotides) under Hevea brasiliensis (rubber tree). The record is from RNAcentral. Lineage: Eukaryota; Viridiplantae; Streptophyta; Magnoliopsida; Malpighiales; Euphorbiaceae.
UUUCAGCAAAAACAUCAGUGACCGACAAAACUGCAGUUCAAUGGCAUUUUCGCCUCCAUAACUAUCAGCUCUUGCUCGUCACUGCCCACUCAUUAUAUUUUCACCUCCAUAGCUACCAGCUCUUGCUCGUCGCUNGCUCAUUGUAUACUUCACUAAAAACCCUCCAUAAUGAGACCCCAAGCUUUCUCUUGCCUCACCAUUACUAUCUUCACUUUUCUUGUCCUCCGAAUUGCCUCAACUCAGCCUCCAUUUUCUUGUGAUCCAUCA